RNAcentral lists this long non-coding RNA (1178 nucleotides) under Balaenoptera musculus (blue whale). Its description in RNAcentral is "lncRNA (ENSBMSG00010013902.1)". The record is from RNAcentral. Lineage: Eukaryota; Metazoa; Chordata; Mammalia; Artiodactyla; Balaenopteridae.
CCGGGAGAGUUCUCUCAACGCCGACUUCCCCGCUUGACUGCUCACCUCCUCACCCGCUCCCGUCUUUACCUUGCCUUCCUUCCUCCCUCUUUCUACCUGUAGCUAGAAUGGGUUUACGCCUCCAGGUACCGAAAGAGAAGACCUGCUCAUGGUUAUGCAGCGUUCAAAGCCAAGAGCGCUGGUGCCUCCAAGUGUGAGCAGUUGGUACUGAAAAGAGCCCCGUUGAGUCUCCUCCUUGUUCUUAGAUUUCAGUUUCUCACCCGGGGCCUCUGGUUGGCUGUCAGGGGCGGCCGGGUGGAGAACUUGACUUAUGGUUACUGAGUCUCUUCUGGGACAAGAAAAGAACCCAAUCGUGAGUGUCAGUGAUUUUCUUUUUCUUUUUUUUUUUUAAGUACUGCUCUAGGGAGAAAAACAGUCUCAAGACUUUAAUUUCUUGGGAGGAAGUACUGGGCCGAGGAGCGGCAUCCCAGGGAAUGGCCAUGUUGGCUCAGCAUCUGGUGGUUGGUCCCUGUGUUCCUGGAAGGAAACGGGCAAGUGGGGUCCUUUCUUCAAAGCCCUUUAGGUCCCCUGAUUGGAGACCAAAGUGAGACCCAAAAAGCAAAGAGAGGUCACGGCUGCCCCAAGAUUCAUGCUCGCUAUGUGAAUUACGUUGCUGACUUCAAGCCAGAGAAGCAUCUUUCUUCUUUUAGGUGGAAAUACAUAUUUAUUUUUUCGAAGGUUCCUGCCAUCUCUCCAGGAGUCGGGAUGGGGCACCCUCUCAUCUGCUGCUGUUCUUUCUCCUUGGCGAGCAUGUUGUUUCUAGCGGGAGCUCUUGGAAUUGGGAACCUAGAGAUUAAGAAUCAGGUGGGGUUUGGUGGGGAAUCGGUGUAGCACGGUGGACAGGGUCCUGUCCUUGUCAUCUGCAGGCUGUGUGACCCUAGGCAGGUCACUUAGUCUUCGUGCCUCGGUUGCCUCAUCUGUAAAAUGGGGCUGAUCAUACCCUCCUGGGCUUGUUGUGAAGAUGAGCACUGAUGUGUGUGUUAUGUGCAUGGCCCAGGUUGGGUUCUAAGACACAGGCAAGGCAAACAUCACAAGUGGCAAGAAUUACCCUUGGAAAUCCCUUUGUGGUGUUAGGCCAGGCUAGGCUAUGCUGCAGUAACAAACUAGCCAUAAACUCUUGGGACAUGAAUACAAGGGUG